Long non-coding RNA from Aethalodelphis obliquidens (Pacific white-sided dolphin), 334 nucleotides. RefSeq lists it as uncharacterized. The transcript is spliced from 3 exons. The record is from RefSeq and is a predicted model, not a curated record. Lineage: Eukaryota; Metazoa; Chordata; Mammalia; Artiodactyla; Delphinidae.
AGGGCUUGUUGAGAAAGUCACCGGUCACAGGUGUGUACAUGUGACACCGGCACCUUGAACUCUCUGGAGCACUGGAAACUCCUGCAGCUCUGUCCACUGAAGAGGCCCAGAAGCAAUGUUACCCAGAGGUAAUGAACGUACCAGUGCCAAGACCUUGGUUUCAAAGUACUGUUCAUCACUGAAAGGAAGGAAUGUUCCCUGGAAAAAUGGCUGAUUCCAGAUCAGAAACAGAGAAUGUACAAGGUGAGCCUGGAACAUCUUAUGUCAGAAGCAAAGAAAGUGUGCAGAGAAUGAACCAACUUACAAUAAUGGUAUUACAGGUAGACAACCACAU